GACUUCACUAAGGGCUUGUUUUUCUUCAGCAUUUACUUGAAGGUUAACGUGGGAUGGACGCCCAGAUGGAGAGUCUGGGCAGUCCGCCUCUCAGCUCUGCCUUGCACUUAAGAGAUCACCAACUUUCCCCAGGUCGAGCAGGCAGGUACAAGUGGGCUCACAACGUUUGACCUCGACUGGUUUUUCUAAGUUAUUUUGUACAUUUUUCAGCAGCGAAACCAAACUGGGUCUUCAGCUUUAUUCCCGUUCUUGCAAGG
This 257-nucleotide long non-coding RNA is filed under the name Bos taurus (domestic cattle). RNAcentral's name for it is "long non-coding RNA NONBTAT009264". The record is from RNAcentral. Lineage: Eukaryota; Metazoa; Chordata; Mammalia; Artiodactyla; Bovidae.